UACGGGGGGGGCAAGCGUUGUUCGGAAUUACUGGGCGUAAGGGGCUCGUAGGUGGCCAACUAAGUCAGACGUGAAAUCCCCAGGCUUAACCUGGGAACUGCGUCUGAUACUGGAUGGCUUGAAUUCGGGAGAGGGAUGCAGAAUUCCAGGUGUAGCGGUGAAAUGCGUAGAUAUCUGGAGGAAUACCGGUGGCGAAGGCGGCAUCCUGGACCGAGAUUGACACUGAUGAGCGAAAGCUAGGGGAGCAAACGGG
Molecule: ribosomal RNA, 253 nt
Filed under: uncultured bacterium
Lineage: Bacteria
Description: partial 16S ribosomal RNA
Rfam family: Bacterial small subunit ribosomal RNA
Source: RNAcentral